CGGACGGGUGAGUAACACGUGGGUAACCUACCUAUAAGACUGGGAUAACUUCGGGAAACCGGAGCUAAUACCGGAUAACAUUUAGAACCGCAUGGUUCUAAAGUGAAAGAUGGUUUUGCUAUCACUUAUAGAUGGACCCGCGCCGUAUUAGCUAGUUGGUAAGGUAACGGCUUACCAAGGCGACGAUACGUAGCCGACCUGAGAGGGUGAUCGGCCACACUGGAACUGAGACACGGUCCAGACUCCUACGGGAGGCAGCAGUAGGGAAUCUUCCGCAAUGGGCGAAAGCCUGACGGAGCAACGCCGCGUGAGUGAUGAAGGGUUUCGGCUCGUAAAACUCUGUUAUUAGGGAAGAACAAAUGUGUAAGUAACUGUGCACAUCUUGACGGUACCUAAUCAGAAAGCCACGGCUAACUACGUGCCAGCAGCCGCGGUAAUACGUAGGUGGCAAGCGUUAUCCGGAAUUAUUGGGCGUAAAGCGCGCGUAGGCGGUUUCUUAAGUCUGAUGUGAAAGCCCACGGCUCAACCGUGGAGGGUCAUUGGAAACUGGGAAACUUGAGUGCAGAAGAGGAAAGUGGAAUUCCAUGUGUAGCGGUGAAAUGCGCAGAGAUAUGGAGGAACACCAGUGGCGAAGGCGACUUUCUGGUCUGUAACUGACGCUGAUGUGCGAAAGCGUGGGGAUCAAACAGGAUUAGAUACCCUGGUAGUCCACGCCGUAAACGAUGAGUGCUAAGUGUUAGGGGGUUUCC
RNAcentral lists this ribosomal RNA (749 nucleotides) under Staphylococcus sp. RNAcentral describes it as "bacterial SSU rRNA". It matches the Rfam family "Bacterial small subunit ribosomal RNA", at positions 99 to 835 of the family's 1533-position model. Lineage: Bacteria; Bacillati; Bacillota; Bacilli; Caryophanales; Staphylococcaceae. The record is from RNAcentral.